CCUACGGGUGGCAGCAGUGGGGAAUAUUGCACAAUGGGGGAAACCCUGAUGCAGCGACGCCGCGUGGAUGAAGAAGUAUCUCGGUACGUAAAGCUCUAUCAGCAGGGAAGAAAAUGACGGUACCUGACUAAUAAGCCCCGGCUAACUACGUGCCAGCAGCCGCGGUAAUACGUAGGGUGCAAGCGUUAUCCGGAUUUACUGGGUGUAAAGGGAGCGUAGACGGCAGCACAAGUCUGGAGUGAAAUCCCGGGGCUUAACCCCGGAACUGCUUUGGAAACUGUGCGGCUGGAGUGCAGGAGGGGUAAGCGGAAUUCGUGGUGUAGCGGUGAAAUGCGUAGAGAUCAGGAGGAACACCGGUGGCGAAGGCGGCUUACUGGACUGUAACUGACGUUGAGGCUCGAAAGCGUGGGGAGCAAACAGGAUUAGAUACCCGGGUAGUC
RNAcentral lists this ribosomal RNA (440 nucleotides) under uncultured bacterium. RNAcentral's name for it is "partial 16S ribosomal RNA". It matches the Rfam family "Bacterial small subunit ribosomal RNA", at positions 338 to 795 of the family's 1533-position model. The record is from RNAcentral.